This 2465-nucleotide small RNA is filed under the name Pongo abelii (Sumatran orangutan). RNAcentral describes it as "retained intron". The record is from RNAcentral. Lineage: Eukaryota; Metazoa; Chordata; Mammalia; Primates; Hominidae.
CCUAAAAUACGAUUUUGAUAUUGCUGUUGUAUUUAAACGUUUUCAAAAGUGACACAAAUGGAAGCUGGAAUGGCAUACUAGUUCUUCCUGCUUUUUUUCCCCUGACUAUUUUUGUUAUAGACUGAAAUAAUCCUCCAUUCCACUUUUUGGAAUGUGGAUAUAAAUAUUUUUAAAUUCAUUUGCUGACAAGGCAAAAAUAAGUAAUUCAUAUAUGUAAAACUAUUAUGAUAGGAGUGAAGUUUUUGUUAUAAUAAGCAGAUAGCUAAAAGCUUCUCUAUUUUUUCUACAAAUAUUCUUAGGUUAAUUUUAUUAAGGGAGAAACAGAAUUGUUGCAGUAUAUUACUAAAGUGAAAAUAUAGCCAUGCACAGAUUGAAAUGUAUGGUAAAAGCCUUCUUUCUAACUUCCUGUCAGGUGUCAUCUGAAGACAGAAGUGCCCUGUGGGCUUUGGUUACGUUCUAUGGGGGAGAUUGCCAGCUAAACCUCAAUAAGAAAUGCACGCAUUUGAUUGUUCCAGAGCCAAAGGGGGAGAAAUACGAAUGUGCUUUAAAGCGAGCAAGUAUUAAAAUUGUGACUCCUGACUGGGUUCUGGAUUGCGUAUCAGAGAAAACCAAAAAGGACGAAGCAUUUUAUCAUCCUCGUCUGAUUAUUUAUGAAGAGGAAGAAGAGGAAGAGGAAGAGGAGGAGGAAGUAGAAAAUGAGGAACAAGAUUCUCAGAAUGAGGGUAGUACAGAUGAGAAGUCAAGCCCUGCCAGCUCUCAAGAAGGGUCUCCUUCAGGUGACCAGCAGUUUUCACCUAAAUCCAACACUGAAAAAUCUAAAGGGGAAUUAAUGUUUGAUGAUUCUUCAGAUUCAUCACCGGAAAAACAGGAGAGAAAUUUAAACUGGACCCCGGCCGAAGUCCCACAGUUAGCUGCAGCAAAACGCAGGCUGCCUCAGGGAAAGGAGCCUGGGUUGAUUAACUUGUGUGCCAAUGUCCCACCCGUCCCAGGUAACAUUUUGCCCCCUGAGGUCCGGGGUAAUUUAAUGGCUGCUGGACAAAACCUCCAAAGUUCUGAAAGAUCAGAAAUGAUAGCUACCUGGAGUCCAGCUGUACGGACAUUGAGGAAUAUUACUAAUAAUGCUGACAUUCAGCAGAUUAACCGGCCAUCAAAUGUAGCACAUAUCUUACAGACUCUUUCAGCACCUACGAAAAAUUUAGAGCAGCAGGUGAAUCACAGCCAGCAGGGACAUACAAAUGCCAAUGCAGUGCUGUUUAGCCAAGUGAAAGUGACUCCAGAGACACACAUGCUACAGCAGCAGCAGCAGGCCCAGCAGCAGCAGCAGCAGCACCCGGUUUUACACCUUCAGCCCCAGCAGAUAAUGCAGCUCCAGCAGCAGCAGCAGCAGCAGCAGAUUUCUCAGCAACCUUACCCCCAGCAGCCACCGCAUCCAUUUUCACAGCAGCAGCAGCAGCAGCAGCAAGCCCAUCCGCAUCAGUUUUCACAGCAGCAGCUACAGUUUCCACAGCAACAGUUGCAUCCUCCACAGCAGCUGCAUCGCCCUCAGCAGCAGCUCCAGCCCUUUCAGCAGCAGCAUGCCCUGCAGCAGCAGUUCCAUCAGCUGCAGCAGCACCAGCUCCAGCAGCAGCAGCUCGCCCAGCUCCAGCAGCAGCACAGCCUGCUCCAGCAGCAGCAGCAGCAACAGCAGAUUCAGCAGCAGCAGCUCCAGCAGCAGCAGCUCCAGCGCAUGCACCAGCAGCAGCAGCAGCAGAUGCAAAGUCAGACGGCGCCACACUUGAGUCAGACGUCACAGGCGCUGCAGCAUCAGGUUCCACCUCAGCAGCAGCAGCAACAGCAGCCACCACCACCGCCUCAGCAGCAUCAGCUUUUUGGACAUGAUCCAGCAGUGGAGAUUCCAGAAGAAAGCUUCUUAUUGGGAUGUGUGUUUGCAAUUGCGGAUUAUCCAGAGCAGAUGUCUGAUAAGCAACUGCUGGCCACCUGGAAAAGGGUGAGAUUGUGCCUGGAGGAAGGAUGACUGUGUCUGAAGAUGCUUCUUUCUUAUGUAGAUGUAACUAUGUUCACUUAGCUGCAUUCACUGAGCUGCACCUACAUGUGUUCUGAAUGUGUGACGGGCAUUUUGAUUAACAUUCUCUGUGACCUGAGGCACAGCACUUUUCUGGGCAUCAGUUUUCUCAGCUGUUAGAUGAAGAUGGUGGACUUUUUAUUUUUUUCAGCUUGGAAAUUCCAAGGGGCACUAAUUAUAUGCGUAUAAUUGGGGCGAUGGAAAUAAGUUCAGGGUUUUGGUGUCCUGGGAGAGGGACCAUUAAUUUGUAUGCAUCUCAGUCAUUUCUCUUUCUCCAAAGGUAACUGUUAGAAAAUCCUGGAAUCUCUAGAACCUCAAAUUCUUCCAGCCCAAUUGUAAAACUGGAGUUAAUUUAAUUAUUUAUUAUCUUGCAUGGUGGCCUUUUUCUUGCAUUCCCCAAAAC